AAUCCGUGUUGUGGGCAUUUUCGUGAGGAGCUCCUUGAACCUUUCCCACGCCUCAAAUAGAGACUCCAAUUCCAUUGUACAAAGGGCGAGAUCUCAUUCCUUAGCUU
Small nucleolar RNA from Dioscorea cayenensis subsp. rotundata (Guinea yam), 107 nucleotides. The record is from RefSeq and is a predicted model, not a curated record. NCBI's taxonomy places the organism in Eukaryota, Viridiplantae, Streptophyta, Magnoliopsida, Dioscoreales, Dioscoreaceae.